Long non-coding RNA from Coffea eugenioides, 738 nucleotides. RefSeq lists it as uncharacterized. Lineage: Eukaryota; Viridiplantae; Streptophyta; Magnoliopsida; Gentianales; Rubiaceae. The record is from RefSeq and is a predicted model, not a curated record. The transcript has 2 exons.
GUUUCUAACAGGCCCUUUUUUUACAGGAUCUAAAUGGCAGGUUCUUGACUGUUAACAAGGCUGCCCCAAGAGGAUCACGGCCAGAGCGCACACCACGAGUAUUUGAACCAGCUCCAAGAAUCUAUGUGGGUAACUUGCCAUGGGAUGUAGAUGAUGCGCACCUUGAACAAGUUUUUAGUGAGCAUGGGAAAGUGGUAAAUGCACGGGUAGUGUAUGACAGGGAUAGCGGUCGAUCACGGGGUUUUGGCUUUGUUACAAUGUCAAGCGAGUCUGAAAUGAAUGAUGCUAUUGCUAACCUUGAUGGACAGAGUCUGGAUGGGAGAGCUAUCAGAGUAAAUGUUGCUGAGGAAAGACCAAGGCGUUUCUAAUCUGUUGGCUGGUUUGUGAGAUUCUCAAGGCACUAGAUAGAUUUAAAGUCUCUGUAGUUUAUGCUUUCAUUAGUUGAAACGAGUGGUAGUUACAUUUUUUGUCAGCUUCCGAUGAGAGAACCGAGUGCAGUUUACACUAUGCCUCUUAGCAUUGUCGAGUAAUUAAACUUCAUUUCCUGGUAUCAUGGAGGUGAUUACUUUUUUUUUUUUUUUUUGGCUUUAUGUAUCAAUCUUGGUAGGAUGUGGAAAACUGCUCAAGUCUAUUUAUUUAGAUGUUAUAAAGAGGCAAUGUGUUUUUCUCUGUCCUGGACUUCCACAGGUAUAUGUGGAUUUGUGAGAUCAAAAGUCUGCAGCUCUGCUUUCUUCAUCA